Molecule: ribosomal RNA, 289 nt
Filed under: uncultured diatom
Lineage: Eukaryota; Bacillariophyta
Description: partial 18S ribosomal RNA
Rfam family: Eukaryotic small subunit ribosomal RNA
Source: RNAcentral
CGUAUAUUAAAGUGUUGCAGUUAAAAAGCUCGUAGUUGGAUUUGUGGCGUGUCCUGUCGGAGCAUGAGCUCUGCUUGUGUGUCUGUACGGGUGUGCCUUUAAUGGGAUUGUUGGCCUUGUGGCAUUAGGUUGUCGCAUGGUUGAUGCCCAUCUUUUACUGUGAAAAAAUUAGAGUGUUCAAAGCAGGCUUAUGCCGUUGAAUAUGUUAGCAUGGAAUAAUGAUAUAGGACCUUGGUACUAUUUUGUUGGUUUGCGCACUAAGGUAAUGAUUAAUAGGGACAGUUGGGGG